This 253-nucleotide ribosomal RNA is filed under the name uncultured bacterium. RNAcentral's name for it is "partial 16S ribosomal RNA". It matches the Rfam family "Bacterial small subunit ribosomal RNA", at positions 524 to 776 of the family's 1533-position model. The record is from RNAcentral.
UACAGAGGUCCCAAGCGUUGUUCGGAUUUAUUGGGCGUAAAGGGUGCGUAGGCGGUUGCCUAAGUCAGAUGUGAAAUCCCGGGGCUCAACCUCGGAACUGCAUUUGAUACUGGGUAACUUGAGUACUGGAGGGGAGACUGGAAUUUACGGUGUAGCAGUGAAAUGCGUAGAUAUCGUAAGGAAGACCAGUGGCGAAGGCGGUUGCCUGGAGCUUUGCUGACGCUGAUGCGCGAAAGCGUGGGGAGCGAUCCGG